This 306-nucleotide unclassified non-coding RNA is filed under the name uncultured bacterium. Its description in RNAcentral is "contains 16S-23S intergenic spacer region". The record is from RNAcentral.
GCUUCGUUCACCGGCACGUGUCUGGUUAACCCAUGCCAGUAGACCGAGCCGCCGAACGUGUUGACAUGGAUCUCAGAGCCAUCCGCGAGCUGCAUCGGAAGGACAUUUAGGAAGGAGAGCCCCAGCCCAGCGACGAGGUCCGCCGGUAAUGUUAGAUAUUCUGUGAAUCCGGUGUCGAUGACGGCUUCGACAUCCACUACGGCUCCCGUGGGACCGCCCAGGCGCAGCGACACGACUGCCUCCCGUUCGGGUCGCAUUUCCCCUUCGAUCAUAAGACCACUCUUGGACUACGCAUCCGCCCCACCG